UCAAGCGUUUAAGAGCAUUUAAUGGAUGCCUUGGCACUGAAAGUCGACGAAGGACGUGUUAUACUGCGAUAAGUUUCGGGGAGCUGUAUGAAAGCUUUGAUCCGAAAAUUUCCGAAUGGGAAAACCCAACUCUUAUGAGUUACUUUAAACUGAAUACAUAGGUUUAAAGAGGCAACCCAGGGAACUGAAACAUCUAAGUACCUGGAGGAAAAGAAAUCAAUUGAGAUUCCGUUAGUAGUGGCGAGCGAAAGCGGAAGAGGCCAGCGGCCUAUUAUGAAUAACCAAAACAGUCUGGAAAGUCUGACCAUAGAAGGUGAUAGUCCUGUAUGGGUAAAAACAUAGUAGGUCCACGAGUAAGGCGGGACACGUGAAAUCCUGUUUGAAGAUAGGGGGACCAUCCUCUAAGCCUAAAUACUCUUCAGUGACCGAUAGUGAACUAGUACCGUGAGGGAAAGGUGAAAAGAACCCCUAUUAGGGGAGUGAAAUAGAAUCUGAAAUUGAAUGCUUACAAUCAGUCAGAGCUCCUUGUGAGUGAUGACGUACCUUUUGUAUAAUGGGUCAGUGACUUAAUUUAUGUAGCAAGCUUAAGCCGUUAGGUGUAGGCCAAGCGAAAGCGAGUCUUAAUAGGGCGUUAGUUGCAUGAAUUACAACCCGAAACCGAUUGAUCUAGAUAUGAGCAGGUUGAAGGUAAGGUAACACUUACUGGAGGACCGAACCCGUUGCCGUUGAAAUGGCUUGGGAUGACUUGUGUCUAGGGGUGAAAGGCCAACCAAAAUCGGAGAUAGCUGGUUUUCCGCGAAAACUAUUUAGGUAGUGCGUUGAGUUAUAGAUUAAGAGGGGUAGAGCACUAAAUAGGCUAGGGGGAAGAAAUUCUUACCAACCCUAAUAAAACUCCGAAUACUCUUAAUUGUUCCUCAGCAGACAGACUGCGAAUGCUAACGUCCGUAGUCGAGAGGGAAACAACCCAGAUCACCAACUAAGGUCCCGAAAUCGUAAUUAAGUGUGAAAGGAUGUGAAGACUCCAAAACAGCCGGGAGGUUGGCUUAGAAGCAGCCAUCCUUUAAAGAUAGCGUAACAGCUCACCGGUCUAAUUAAGAGACUUUGCGCCGAAGAUGUAACGGGGCUAAAAUUACGUACCGAAGUUGUGAAUUUAUAAAGUCUUCGGACUUUAUAUCUGGUAGCGGAACGUUCUGUAAGCCGUUGAAGGAAGACCCGCGAGGGCUUCUGGAGGUAUCAGAAGUGCGAAUGCUGACAUGAGUAGCGACAAACAGAGUGAAAGACUCUGUCGCCGAGAGUACAAGGGUUCCUGCGUAAAGCUAAUCUUCGCAGGGUUAGUCGGCCCCUAAGACGAGAGCGAAAGCUGUAGUCGAUGGGAACCAGGUAAAUAUUCCUGGACCAGGUGGUAGUGACGGAUGCAGUAAAUUGUAACUCCUUAUUGGAUUGGAGUUGCCGUGAAUGUGUCCCAGGAAAUAGCUCCACCAUUAGACCGUACCCGAAACGGACACACGUGUACCGGUAGAGUAUACCUAGGCGCUUGAGAGAAUAAUGUUGAAGGAACUCGGCAAAUUGCUUCCGUAACUUCGGAAUAAGGAAGGCCCUUGUUUAGGCAACUAGAUUUGGGCGGCACAAGCUAGGGAGAAGCGACUGUUUAUCAAAAACACAGGUCUCUGCUAACACGUAAGUGGAUGUAUAGGGGCUGACGCCUGCCCGGUGCUGGAAGGUUAAGGCAAGAUGUGCAAGCAUUGAACCGAAGCCCCAGUGAACGGCGGCCGUAACUAUAACGGUCCUAAGGUAGCGAAAUUCCUUGUCGGGUAAG
RNAcentral lists this ribosomal RNA (1816 nucleotides) under marine metagenome. RNAcentral's name for it is "bacterial LSU rRNA". It matches the Rfam family "Bacterial large subunit ribosomal RNA", at positions 1 to 1980 of the family's 2925-position model. The record is from RNAcentral.